GCCAAAUUAGCAUACAAAGCAAUGAAUUGUGAUGACUGGCCUUCAUACUUAAAAUUAGAGGAAUAUAUUCCUAUAAGACCAUUACGAUCAUCAUCUGCCCGGCGUCUAGUAGUCCCUAUUAUCUCUGGAACCUUCCAAGAUGAAGCAGCUCGAGUGUUCAACUCUUUACCUGAAGAAAUUCGAAACUGCGAUACGUUUAAAGAUUAUUGCAGAACCUCCUCCGAGUACUUCAAAACAUUAGUCAAAUACAGAAUUAGUGACACGUCGUAAACUCUGUUGACAUUGUGUGUAUAACUAUACUGUAUUUUACUGUGUAUAAGUAAUGUCAAUAGUUAAAUACUGUAAUGUACAACAUACUACGUAUUGUAAUACUUGUUGUGUCGUAUUAUGUACUCCGUUGUAUGUAUUGUAUACUUUGUUAUCUUAUAAUCAAACUCAC
This is a non-coding RNA of Paramuricea clavata, 439 nucleotides long. The record is from the annotation of a GenBank genome assembly. NCBI's taxonomy places the organism in Eukaryota, Metazoa, Cnidaria, Anthozoa, Malacalcyonacea, Plexauridae.